CGGCUCAGCCCUGAGCCUCAGCCAACGCUGCCCUAUUCCUGCAGAGCCCAGCGCUUUCUGGAACCUGGUGUUGCUGGCCACAUGCAUACAUUCUCCCCUUCCCCCAGAGAAAACUGGCAUUUUUUUGUAAGCGAGGACACCUGAGCCACCUCCACCCGACGCCCCAAACCGUCUGGGGGGGUGGGGACGGACGUAUGUCCCCACGCCGUGCUGGCUUCUUGGUGAAGGGGACCCCGAGCGUUCACCGGCCUCUGCUGCCGGCUCAGGAAGCCCUGGCCGGAUCUGGGGCUUAAAAGAGCCUGUUUCCAGGUCCCUGGUCUGGCAACCAGGGAGCUCCAGACCCGGGCACCUCGAAAACCCGGAGAGGCUGCGCCCGGGACAUCCAUUCUCGCCCUCCGUUUUCUGCGACUGGCUCAGCCACGAUUCAGCGGAGCUGGGGUUCAGCCAGCCUGGCCACGAGGGGUCCCAGCCCUCCAGAAAGCCGGAGGACGCAGCGCCAAAGCUGGAACGCCGAAGGGACAAGAGCGCUCAUUUCGUGGGCAGAGCCGGGGCUGAAGCACCAGGCUCGGCUGCAGCAGAUCCCGGUGUGUCUCAGCUCCGCCUCUGGCCCUGGCCCCUUUCCCCGGCCCCGGGUCGGGUCUUCCAUUCCACUGUUUGGCUCGGAGAGGUCGGAGAUGUGCUGGGUGCACUGGGGGCCGGAUGCAGCCAUAAAUCUCUAUGCGGGACCUCCUUCCCGCUGCUCACACGCUGGUGCUCCUGGCCGGCCUCCCAUCCGGACUUCACCGGGGGCCCUGCUCUCCCGGUCACAGCCUGGGGUCCCUGGGAUGGUGCAGGGAAUCAAGCCAGGAGCUUCCCCGUUCACCAAAGAGAGAAACGGACUCACCCAUUCAGUGCCAUCACCUUCCAUCCCUGCAGUCGGCGGACCCCAGGCAGCCCGGGCCUCACUGGAUCACAGCCUGGGGAAGGGCCACCGGCCGGGCACUAGCUCCUAAGAAGUGUGAUGAGGACCAUGCAGGGUGUCUAUGCGAGCAGUGCUGGGAGGCAGGGGUUCAUCCAGCUCCCCACCCCACACCAGCCCAUCCCUCCCUCUAUGCCAGGCAUACUCCGGACUUUUCGCCUCUCAGCCCCGAGUCAGCUCCCACAUCAGCCACCAGCUUUCGGCUUUGGCGCAAAUAGCCCUACCAUGGGGAGAGGGGUAAUCGGCGGGGCGCUAGUGGCCGCCGGGUAGGGGUGGUGGUCUUUCUACCUGAACAGUCACGGAGCAUCUGGGGGACAGACCCAGAGAAGGUGCAUUUGCAAUAAUAAUUCUUAAUGUCACCAGCCUCGUGCGUCUCUUUGCCAGAGGGGCGGGGAACAGGCCUCUACGCGGGCACCUCUCAGAAGCCGCACAGGCUGUGCGCGAUCGGGG
Molecule: long non-coding RNA, 1408 nt
Filed under: Neogale vison (American mink)
Lineage: Eukaryota; Metazoa; Chordata; Mammalia; Carnivora; Mustelidae
Description: Neovison vison (American mink) lncRNA (ENSNVIG00000005603.1)
Source: RNAcentral